CGUGACAUACCACAAAAUAAAUCUACCACCAAGAAAAAAAAACAUAAGUUUUCUCAUUUCGGUCUACCAAACUUCCCACAAAUCAAAAUUGAACUUAUAAUUUGUAAUCGAGCACUACAUACAAACUAUCUCCAAAUUCUAGUCCCUCACCAUCACCCCAAUCUAGAUAUGAAAAACUCUCAAUUGUCCAUACCGUGGCUUUUUCAUGCACUCAUGCAACUCUAUAGACUAAAAGGGCCAUGUUAGCAGGGGACCUUGCCAAUUUUGUAUCCAACCGACCUAAUUAAGCAACACCAUUAAAUUUUGGGACUUGUAUCGUUGAAAACUUGGUCCCUCCUUUCUCUUUUUGGGUACUAUUGCACCAUUAUAAUGAUAAUCUAUAAGACAUU
Molecule: long non-coding RNA, 389 nt
Filed under: Eucalyptus grandis
Lineage: Eukaryota; Viridiplantae; Streptophyta; Magnoliopsida; Myrtales; Myrtaceae
Description: long non-coding RNA (EGRA_LNC000362)
Source: RNAcentral